Molecule: ribosomal RNA, 505 nt
Filed under: uncultured bacterium
Lineage: Bacteria
Description: partial 16S ribosomal RNA
Rfam family: Bacterial small subunit ribosomal RNA
Source: RNAcentral
GACGAACGCUGGCGGCGUGCCUAAUACAUGCAAGUAGAACGCACAGUUUAUACCGUAGCUUGCUACACCAUAGACUGUGAGUUGCGGACGGGUGAGUAACGCGUAGGUAACCUGCCUGGUAGCGGGGGAUAACUAUUGGAAACGAUAGCUAAUACCGCAUAAUAUUAAUUAUUGCAUGAUAAUUAAUUGAAAGGUGCAAUUGCACCACUACCAGAUGGACCUGCGUUGUAUUAGCUAGUAGGUGAGGUAACGGCUCACCUAGGCGACGAUACAUAGCCGACCUGAGAGGGUGAUCGGCCACACUGGGACUGAGACACGGCCCAGACUCCUACGGGAGGCAGCAGUAGGGAAUCUUCGGCAAUGGACGAAAGUCUGACCGAGCAACGCCGCGUGAGUGAAGAAGGUUUUCGGAUCGUAAAGCUCUGUUGUAAGAGAAGAACGGGUGUGAGAGUGGAAAGUUCACACUGUGACGGUAUCUUACCAGAAAGGGACGGCUAACUACGUG